AUCUCAUAUUCCAAAUCCAAUGUUGCAGAGGUGAUGAGAGAGUAGAGUGCAUUUUCAGUCACUAAUGAAUCAAUAUUAAUGGUGCAAUAUUUUGAAUGAGAUAGGGCAAUAACUGUUACUGUACAUUGCUACUCUCCUGACUUUGAAAAGAUCUUUCAUUUGUCUUCAAACUCAAAUACAUUAUUUAUUAGGCAUGAUUUUGGUUCUGACACUGGCAAUGGUGACGAUUGGAACAUGACUAGAAACUAAACAGGCAAAGAGACUAGAUGGCAAGCAUGGAUCACCAGCUCAGGCCUCUAAGCAUUUGUGUUGGAGGUGCUCUAGUCUCGGAAGAAAAUGACCACAGAUCCACACACACAGGAGGGAGACAGGGGACAGGAGGAAUAACAGACUUACACAGCCUGGACACCACUCAUUUGGAGCAGAACCACACAGGCAGUUUUCACUGAAGACCCCAUGAGACCAGCAGGAUGGUGUGUACUGUUUUGUUUAGAACAAGCAAGACUCAAGAUACAUGUUCAAAACUCAAGCAAGACUCUGGUGAGACAGCUGAAAACAAAGCAAUUAUUUGCCCUGUAAUCAAUUCCUGAUGACAGAGCUACUGUUUGGGAGAUGAAAUUUGAAUAAAUUCAUCUUCGGCAUUUGAAA
Alosa sapidissima (American shad) is the source of this 648-nucleotide long non-coding RNA. RefSeq lists it as uncharacterized. The record is from RefSeq and is a predicted model, not a curated record. Lineage: Eukaryota; Metazoa; Chordata; Actinopteri; Clupeiformes; Clupeidae. The transcript is spliced from 2 exons.